GCCAGAAGCCAUAUCACUCUGCAUCUCAAAACUGGCAGCCCACUGAAGGUAAACAGGUGUGAGCCUAGUCAGUACAUCGAUGGGAUACCUCCUGGGAAGGCAAAGGUUGCUGCUGGAA
Molecule: ribosomal RNA, 118 nt
Filed under: Lepisosteus oculatus (spotted gar)
Lineage: Eukaryota; Metazoa; Chordata; Actinopteri; Semionotiformes; Lepisosteidae
Source: RNAcentral